This 250-nucleotide ribosomal RNA is filed under the name uncultured bacterium. Its description in RNAcentral is "partial 16S ribosomal RNA". It matches the Rfam family "Bacterial small subunit ribosomal RNA", at positions 515 to 765 of the family's 1533-position model. The record is from RNAcentral.
GAGCGGUAAUACGAGAGCCCCGAGCGUUAUCCGGAUUUAUUGGGCGUAAAGCGUAAAAGGUGGCGCUGUUAGUCGAAUGUGAAAGCCCCAGGCUUAACCUGGGAAACGCGUUCGAAACGGCAGUGCUUGAGGACAGGAGAGGUGUGCGGAACUCAUGGUGUAGGGGUGAAAUCCGUUGAUAUCAUGGGGAACACCAAAAGCGAAGGCAGCACACUGGCCUGUAUCUGACACUGUAUUACGAAAGCGUGGG